RNAcentral lists this ribosomal RNA (1227 nucleotides) under metagenome. RNAcentral's name for it is "bacterial LSU rRNA". It matches the Rfam family "Bacterial large subunit ribosomal RNA", at positions 1564 to 2808 of the family's 2925-position model. The record is from RNAcentral.
UGAAUACGAGAUGCUACGGCGUCGAAGCAGUCUAUGUCAUACUUCCAAGAAAAGCUCGCACUGUCAUAAACAAAUAAUGCCUGUACCAUAACCGACACAGGUGGGUAGGUAGAGUAUACUAAGGGGCGCGAGAUAACUCUCUCUAAGGAACUCGGCAAAAUGACUCCGUAACUUCGGGAGAAGGAGUGCCUUAUUUAUAAGGUUGCAAUAACAAGAUCCAAGCAACUGUUUAUCAAAAACACAGGUCUCCGCUAAGUCGUAAGACGAUGUAUGGGGGCUGACGCCUGCCCAGUGCCAGAAGGUUAAAGAAGUUGGUUAGCAUUCGCGAAGCUGAUAACUGAAGCCCUGGUGAACGGCGGCCGUAACAAUAACGGUCCUAAGGUAGCGAAAUUCCUUGUCGGGUAAGUUCCGACCCGCACGAAAGGCGUAAUGAUUUGGAUACUGUCUCGGAGAGGGGCUCGGUGAAAUAGACUUGUCUGUGAAGAUGCGGACUACCUGCACCAGGACAGAAAGACCCUAUGAAGCUUUACUGUAACUUGAGAUUGAAAUUGGACUUUACUUGCGCAGUAUAGGUGGGAGGCGUUGAUAAUAUUCUUGCGGGAUUAUUUGAGCCAUCAGUGAGAUACCACUCUUGUAAUGUUAGAUUUCUAACUUUGUAUCAUUAUCUGGUCAAAGGACAGUUUCAGGCGGGCAGUUUGACUGGGGCGGUCGCCUCCUAAACGGUAACGGAGGCGCACAAAGGUUUCCUCUGAACGGGUAGAAAUCGUAUCUAGAGUGUAAAGGCAUAAGGAAGCUUGACUGUGAGACCUACAAGUCGAGCAGGGACGAAAGUCGGUCUUAGUGAUCUGACGGUGCUGAGUAGAAAGGCCGUCACUCAACGGAUAAAAGUUACUCUAGGAUAACAGGCUGAUCUCCCCCAAGGGUUCACAUCGACGGGGAGGUUUGGCACCUCGAUGUCGGCUCAUCGCAUCCUGGGGCGGUAGUACGUCCCAAGGGUUGGGCUGUUCGCCCAUGAAAGCGGUACGCGAGCUGGGUUCAGAACGUCGUGAGACAGUUCGGUCCAUAUCCGGUGUAGGCGUUAGAAUAUUGAGAGGAGCCUUCUUUAGUACGAGAGGACCGAGAAGGACAUACCUCUGGUGUACCAGUUAUCGUGCCAACGGUAAACGCUGGGUAGCUAUGUGGAUAACCGCUGAAAGCAUCUAAGUGGGAAGCCCACCUCAAGAUAAG